Molecule: long non-coding RNA, 2387 nt
Filed under: Vitis vinifera (wine grape)
Lineage: Eukaryota; Viridiplantae; Streptophyta; Magnoliopsida; Vitales; Vitaceae
Source: RNAcentral
GGGAUUGAGCAAAAAUAAGUGGAUGGCUAGGAACACCAAGGUACAUAAAGGAUUAGUAAUGGAGAUUAUGUAAGUUAUCCAAGGGACAUUUUUGCAUAAAAGGAAUACUAAUUGGGGCUUUAAAUUAGUAGAAAUGAUCAGGCAGUACUCCCCAUGAUUCCGAUCCAGAGUAUGCUCCUAUCCACUAAUUAAAGAAAUAGCUAUCAGGAACGAAAUAAUCCUUUACUUUCUUUUAAAGCCCCCUUCACUUUUUUUAGAAAGAAGACUAGGAACGAAAAAAAAAAAAAAAAAAAAGAAUGUAAUUACAAUAGAAAAAAUCUUUUCUUAUUCUUUCUUUCUUAUAUCCAUAUUCAUAGAGAUAGAAUUCUUGUCAGGAUUUAUGAAUUAAUAUAAUGUCUAAUUCUUUUUCGUAAUGGAAAAGGCGGGGUUGAAAUAUCUAUUGAUAUUUCUGCAAGGAGUAUUUUAUUGAAGGAUUAAGUUAUUACUCAACAAAGAAAAUAUUAAAGGAUGAGAGCAAUUCAGAAGUACCUUAUUUAUUUAUUAUUAUUAUAGAUUAUAGCAGACAGAAUUCCAUUGGCCUAAUUCCGAGACCUUCCGGUAGAUUUUGACUCUAUCUAUCCUACAAAUAUAUCAAGAUAAAUAAAUAAUACCGACCCGGUCCCUAGAUUAAUUAUUGGCCCUCGAGGAGCCGUAUGAAGUGAAAAUCUCAUGUACGGUUCUGUAAUAGCGAUGGGAGCAGUGAUGUUAUCACCGACUAUGAUUAUCUAUAGCGAUGGGAGCAGUGAUGUUAUCAUCGACUAUGAUUAUCUAACAGUUCAAGUACAGUUGAUAUAGUUGAGGCGCAGUCAAAAUAUGGUUUUUGGGGGUGGAAUUUCUUCCCUGCCCGGCCUCACAGUGAAAUUAGAGAAUGUGCUGUGAUGGCUUGCUGAACCAAAGGCCGUAUCAGAGAAGCUGUAGCCUUAGGUAAAUACUGCCCAUACGUAACCUCUAUAUACACUCGAAUCAGCUUUUCCAAGCACGGCACUCACUCCACAAGUAAUGAAGGCUAAAAAGUUGAUUGUUGAUUGUCAAUUGUCAUUUGUCAGCCCAAUCUUAUCCAGUGGUGUUUAGGAAAUACAUUGAGCAUCCAAUUCCGUAUCUAAAUGUAUAAACCAAGCUAUCACUAAUCCAUCAACUAGAGCCCACAGCUUUUGCUAAAAUGCGCUUUCGCUCAAGCUAAGUUUUCAAGCGAAUUCAACAUCCACUUUAUGUUGCAGUCACAUUAGACAGGUGACCCAGAAGACCCACGGAAAAGAGAAAGAUAAAAGGGCAACGGAAGGAAGGUUUUGAUGCGAUGUCAUUGCUUUUCUCUUCACGGUUAAACAUUCCAGCCAUUCAACUUAUCGCCGUCCACAGCAUGAGCGCCACCAUCAAACAUCCUUAUGGUACAAGUCUUGUUUUCUCCAUCACGCUACUCAAGUAUCAGGUACCAAAAAUAAAAAAUAAAAAAUGAAAAAGUCCAAGCAGCGCCCCUUGUUUGAUCAUUUGUUAAUUGGGAUUUGGGAUUUGGGAUUUGGGCAUUGCCAAUUGAGAUUGAAACGGUCAAUUGGGUGCGCCUUACAUAAAAUUUGAAAGCGGUACGUUUUUAAAUUCAGUAACUUCUGUCAUGUCUCGAUGUUGAGCUUUUAAAUGACGUGAAAACAAAAGGAACCGAUUCAAUUUACGUAUGGAAUGGCCUGAAAACCACAACAAUACAAAAGAAGGCGAGAAUGACUUCAUUUCCAUGUCACUGCAAUAUUACAAACAAUACUUUCACGGACUUGUACUAUAAAUUAAGCAGCAUAAACGGUUCCAGAGAGUUAUUACAAGUUACAACCCACAGGUGACGACAAACAUGAAAAAAAUAAAAUAAAAACAAUAGGGCUAGAUCUGUAACUUGAUAGGAUAUGGUUUUUACUUCAAGGCUUGUUCUAGCUACUAUGUAGCUUUCGUACCAACCAUCGUUUCAAUGGAGCCAAACACCUGCGGAUUCAUUUCCUCUGCAAUCCUUUUUCCUCCGAUUCCCAUGCCAAAUCACAGAAGAAAGAACCCCCACCCCAGUCUAAAAAAAAGGUGUUAAUCUGAAAUGAUAAUUGAGAUUUGUCUACCAUCUCAACAGAGUUAGAUGACAUGCAUGAGUGAUCCACUGGAUCUAACUCACACACGCCCAAAACCCAGAGGAGGACUUGGAAGAAAAGAAAACCCCAGGAAAAAAAAAAAACAAAAAAAAAGAGAGGACUAUGGGUGAUCAAAAUUUCUGAAAAUAUUAAUUUGUAUAUAUAGAAAUGGUGUUAGUCUUCAAACCCGACCUUCUUCCAAAUUGCAUUCCUCACCCGACUCAAGUCCCUCCCCUUCAAAGUCCUUCCAAU